GCGGCGGACGGGUGAGUAACACGUGGGUAACCUGCCUGUAAGACUGGGAUAACUCCGGGAAACCGGGGCUAAUACCGGAUGCUUGAUUGAACCGCAUGGUUCAAUCAUGAAAGGUGGCUUUCAGCUACCACUUACAGAUGGACCCGCGGCGCAUUAGCUAGUUGGUGAGGUAACGGCUCACCAAGGCGACGAUGCGUAGCCGACCUGAGAGGGUGAUCGGCCACACUGGGACUGAGACACGGCCCAGACUCCUACGGGAGGCAGCAGUAGGGAAUCUUCCGCAAUGGACGAAAGUCUGACGGAGCAACGCCGCGUGAGUGAUGAAGGUUUUCGGAUCGUAAAACUCUGUUGUUAGGGAAGAACAAGUACCGUUCGAAUAGGGCGGCACCUUGACGGUACCUAACCAGAAAGCCACGGCUAACUACGUGCCAGCAGCCGCGGUAAUACGUAGGUGGCAAGCGUUGUCCGGAAUUAUUGGGCGUAAAGCGCGCGCAGGCGGUUUCUUAAGUCUGAUGUGAAAGCCCCCGGCUCAACCGGGGAGGGUCAUUGGAAACUGGGGAACUUGAGUGCAGAAGAGGAGAGUGGAAUUCCACGUGUAGCGGUGAAAUGCGUAGAGAUGUGGAGGAACACCAGUGGCGAAGGCGACUCUCUGGUCUGUAACU
This 662-nucleotide ribosomal RNA is filed under the name uncultured Bacilli bacterium. RNAcentral's name for it is "bacterial SSU rRNA". It matches the Rfam family "Bacterial small subunit ribosomal RNA", at positions 95 to 741 of the family's 1533-position model. Lineage: Bacteria; Bacillati; Bacillota; Bacilli. The record is from RNAcentral.